GAGCGUUUGCUUCGACUAGCGCGCUAGCGCUCGUGACAUACACAAACGCGCUAGCCAGAAUGCUUUGACUUUGAUGGCUUUCAGCUUCUAUUUUUUGAAAAGUAGCGCGCUCAGACCAGCUCGCUCACUCUUUUCCUCUUCCAUUUUUUAGGGCAAUUGUUUUGUUUGAUAGACGAAGCUUAGGGUCUCUUUGGGUUUGCAACCCUUACUCUCCUGGAAAAAAUCAUAGUUGCUAGACUGCGACACUUCAGACCAGGUACUAUUAGAGCCGCUAAUGGACGACGAGCUAUUUUCCGCUAUCCGGAGCUCAAGCAUUUGAGCCGCUAAAUGGACGAGACUCCUGGGGUAAAGGAUGCAGAGAAUGAGGAGAAAACACUCGUAUGGAGCAGGGAGUAGGUAUUGUACUACUUCCUGGUAUGGAGCACUGAGAAGCGCUUGGUGACAUCGUCCAAGAUCGACAGGGAUGGCGUAUCACCUGCCGUGACGCUGUCGACGCUAUUGUCCAGUCCCGCAUGGAGCCUGUGGCGAAGCCCCUCAUUUGUGGCACUUGUGCGCGCAGUUUUCGUCGGCCACAGGAUAUUGCGACGCACAAGUGUAACGCUGUUCGCGCGGCCCGCGCGCGCUGAGUACGGCGUUCCCCGCCCGGUGGACAACACGUCUCCUGGUCUGCCCCGUAUGGGGCCACAUAGCCAGUCAUGGCAGUGGAAGAAGGAAGGAAGGAAGUUCAUGGUUUCUGGCCCCAACACCUCUAACGACGAUCUAGAGCCGCUCGCGACACGAACCAUGGAGAUUGCCCAUGUGUCGUCUUUUCGUUACCUUGGAUUCAACAUACACAGCAACGGCCGAUGUCAUGAAUCUGAUGAUGUCACAUCCCGGAUCUCUGUCUUUUCUCCUUCUG
This is a long non-coding RNA of Sycon ciliatum, 898 nucleotides long. RefSeq lists it as uncharacterized. The transcript is spliced from 3 exons. The record is from RefSeq and is a predicted model, not a curated record. Lineage: Eukaryota; Metazoa; Porifera; Calcarea; Leucosolenida; Sycettidae.